RNAcentral lists this ribosomal RNA (460 nucleotides) under uncultured bacterium. RNAcentral describes it as "partial 16S ribosomal RNA". It matches the Rfam family "Bacterial small subunit ribosomal RNA", at positions 338 to 795 of the family's 1533-position model. The record is from RNAcentral.
CCUACGGGAGGCUGCAGUGAGGAAUAUUGGUCAAUGGACGGAAGUCUGACCCAGCCAUGCCGCGUGCAGGAAGACGGCUCUCUGGGUUGUAAACUUCUUUUGUACGAGAGUGAACCUGAAUGCGUGUCUUCAGCUGACAGUACUGUACGAAUAAGCAUCGGCUAACUCCGUGCCAGCAGCCGCGGUAAUACGGAGGAUCCAAGCGUUAUCCGGAUUUAUUGGGUUUAAAGGGUGCGUAGGCGGAUUGAUAAGUCAGAGGUGAAAUGCCCGAGCUUAACCCGGGAACUGCCUCUAAUACUGUUGAUCUAGAGAGUAGAUGAGGUAGGCGGAAUGCAUGGUGUAGCGGUGAAAUGCGUAGAGAUCAUACAGAACACCGAUUGCGAAGGCAGCUGACCAAUCGACAUCUGACGGUGAGGCACGAAAGCGUGGGGAGCAAACAGGAUUAGAUACCCCAGUAGUC